RNAcentral lists this long non-coding RNA (9902 nucleotides) under Malus domestica (apple). RNAcentral's name for it is "long non-coding RNA (MDOM_LNC002223)". The record is from RNAcentral. Lineage: Eukaryota; Viridiplantae; Streptophyta; Magnoliopsida; Rosales; Rosaceae.
AUGUCCAUGCACCUUCUUCCCCUUGAGCUCCUUCCUCAUAUCAUACGCAUCUUCCCCAUCGGCAUAGUACUUCGCCUCCACAUCAUGAAUCUUAUACCCCAAAGUCCCCGUGUACAAAUUGAACGCCGCCCGAUUGCUCUUCCUCACGUGAAGCGACACGUACUCCGCCGCGAACACCUGUUCCAUGGCGUUCUGGGCGGCGCUCAUGAGCUUGGUGGCGAGGCCGAGUUUGCGGUGGGUGCGGAGGACGGCGAGGGAGGUGAUGUGUCCGUGGCACUCGUUGCUCUCCUCCUCCAUCUUGGCGAGGACGUAGCCGACGAUGCGGCCGUUGUAGUCUUCGGCGACGUAUAGGAGCUGCGGCCAUGAGAGGAUGUGGUAGAGGUAGUACUUCAUCUGGUAGUUCUCAGGGAGGCAGAAGAGGUUGCAGGCUUGCAUCGCCAGGAGGUCGUCGAUGGUGGCCUUGCGUAUGCACACCAUGUUUGGAGCUUCUGGAGUUUCGAGGGUUAGGGUUUUCGGGUGGGAAUUUUGGUUUUGGGGAGGAAGAGAGAAACAGAGAGUGUUUGAGGUCAAAAGAAAUGUGGGGGUGUUCUGGAAUUUUCCAUGGCAUUGGGUUUGGGCUGAGUCAUGGGCUUAUGGAAUUUAUACAUGGGCUUAAGUCAAUACUUUUCAAACAAAUAAAAGGUGAGGUGAAAUUAAAAUUAUGGAGGAUUCCAGUAACUUAUUACAAAUUUUCUUUUAAAACAACUAUUUUGUAAAACUGAACAAGAUAAAACAAUAUUUACAUUUAUGAUUUAAAAAUGCGUCACAUAGUUUCAUCCGGUAAUGAUUAUCAGAAUGAUAACAUAGAAAAUUCGUCCGGUACCAAUAUCUAAAAUGUUAAAAAAAUGCUACAAAUUUGUGUUUGGUAGUAAUGACGACAAUGGUGGUAGAGGUGGGCUAGUCAUGGAUUUGAUGAAUUUAAACAUGGGUGAUGCGAGAGACCAAAAUUUUAAACCAUCUUUAGUAAACCACAUAAUAUAGUGAUUGAUAAAUCAUAAAAAAAGAAAUUUAAACUCGAAAGCAACAGAUUAAAAACUCGUGCAAAAGCCGGUGUGCGUUACAUCAAUCGAGCCCUUUUCAUUUUCUAUGCUUUUCUCUCCAAAGUUCACAACAUAUUACACACAGAGUAAUAAGAAAUGCCACUCCUGCAAAAUUCCCCACCGAAACAAUUAAAUCCCAUUUCCAAUUCUUUCCACCCCAUGUCUCUAAACCUCAGGCCAUCUCCAAUCGAAGGGUCUAGAGGGCUAGAGGGCUCUGGAAUCUGGGAGGGCCCCACGGAAUCGGAGAGGGCUGGAGGGCUGGCCAUUUUUUUUUUAAUGUUUUGUUAUUUCUGACCGACAGUAAUACAUUUAUACUAAAUAAUAGCAUCUAUUCCUGUCGGUUAUAACCGACAGGAUUUCUUAAGAAAAAAUUCAAAUGAAACGGCUAGUAGCCGUUGCAUUUGAUUUUUUAUUUUUUUUUACAGUUUUAUUAUUAUUUUUUAUUUAUAAAAAUUUUCAUAUAACUUCUAUUUUUUCCUAUAACUUUUAUUUCACAAAAUUUAUUUCAUAUUUUUUUUUAAAUUCCAUUUUUUUCCUAUAACUUCUAUUUCACAAAAUUUGUUUCAUAUUUUUUUUAAAUUACAUUUUUUCCUAUAACUUCUAUUUCACAAAAUUUGUUUCAUAUUUUUUUUAAAUUUCAUUUUUUUUCCUAUAACUUCUAUUUCACAAAAUUUGUUUCAUAUUUUUUUUAAUUCUAUUUUUUUCCUAUAACUUCCUAAGCCAUUAUACAACAUUAAAUUAAAUUAAGUAACAUGAAACAACAUUAAACAAUAUGAAACAACAUUAACCAACAUAAAAAUUAUACAACAUGAAACUUAAACAACAUUUUUAAAAACAUUUAAAAACAUAAAACGUAAAUGCCUACUCCAUGCUUCUUUGGGCCCAAAGAUGUGCAACAAGAUCUUGUUGUAGGUACUUGUUUGUGGCACGAGAACGUAUCAUUCUAUAGCGCUUCAUGUACUUAUCUAUAGAGAUACUACCAGUUCUUGGAUUGAAAGGCAAAUUAGGCUUAUCAUAUAUUUUUGCACGAGCCCUUCUUGACCUAUUUGGAUCUUCUUGGUCGUCAUCGGACUCUCCAUCAAUAUACCCAUCUUGCUCAUCCUUCACUAUCAUAUUGUGUAAUAUGAUGCAAGACAUCAUGAUGGAGUCCAAAUUUUCUCGACUCCACCCUCUUGCCGGUUCGCUAAUGAUCUUCCACCGUGCUUGUAUAAUACCAAAAGCUCUCUCAACAUCUUUCUGAUAUGCCUCUUGGUGUAAGGUAAACAACUGUUCCGCGUCAUUCCUAGGGUUUGGAAUUGCUUGGACAAGUGUCGCCCACUUUGGGUAGAUGUCAUUUGCCAAGUAAUACCCCAUAUUGUAUUGACGGCCGUUGAUGUAGUAGUUAAGUUAAGGUGCUUUACCUUCCGUCAAGUUAUUGAAGAAGGGUGAACGCCCAAGAACUGUAAUGUCAUUUUGGGAUCCAAGGACUCCAAAGAAAACAUGUCAGAUCCAUGUGUCAUAUGAGGCAACCGCCUCUAACACAACAGUUGGCUUUCUCGACCUUCCGCUAAAGCCUCAUUGCCAUCCGGUAGGACAGUUCUUCCAAUCCCAAUGCAUGCAGUCUAAUGACCCUAUCAUGCCUGGAAACCCAAGGUCUUCAGCUUUGCGAAGGAGCCGAUUCAUAUCUUUUUGAUUUGGCUCGCGGAGGUACUCGUCUUUGUAAAGCUGAACAAUUGUGUCACAAAAUUCUUGAAGAGUAUCAAGGCAUGUAGACUCAGACACACCAUGGGUUUCAUCCAUCGAAUCAGCUGCGGAGCCAUAUGCUAUCAUUUGGAGUGCAACAGUAACCUUUUGAUGAGGUGAGAAACUAGGGCGACCUGCUCUGUCCCGCUUCUGUUGAAAGUACGGAUUGACCUGCUGGACAUCACAAAGUAAACGCUUAAAGACAUGACGCCUCAUCCGGAAGCUACAUCUGAAAUCCUCUUCUGUGUACACCGAGUUGGGGUCGAAGUAGUUGUUCAUCAGAUUGGCAUGCGUCAUCGCUCUGUUUCGUGGUUUGUAAGAGCAACCAGCAAUAGAGCCACCCCAUUGAGGUUAUUCCUCAGUUGGCUGACACACCAUGGCCGUAGCCAUGGCUGCUGCUAUGUUUUGUUUGUUGCGCCUUACUUGAACUUCUUCAUCAGACUCCUCAUAUUCUUGUCUCAUUUGCACCUAUUUUGCUUCUCUUUUGGAAUUGGAUGAAGACCCCCAGUUGGAAUCUGAAGAGGAUCCAAAGUUGGAAUUCAUUGCAAACUUGAAUUGAAAGAGAUUGAAUUUAAAUAGAUUGAAUUCAAAGUUGUGUGAAUUAUAUCCCAAUAUCCACCCUAUUUAUAGCAAAAAAAAAUUCAAAUCCAAUGGCUAGCUGAUGUGACUUAGCCGUUGGAUUUGAAUUUAAGUUGUAGUUUUUAAAUAAUAAAUUAUGUUUGGCUCUAUGGCCCUUUGGCCCUCGGUUGGAGACAGAGGUAAAUAUGACCCUGUACUGUUCAUUCAAAUAUUAAUAUCUUGGAGAAUCUUGGAGCGCUAGAGGGCUAAAACGAGUCAUCUGGCCAGCCAUCAGUUGGAGAUGGCCUCAAUCUCUCUCCUAAAACCACCUUCAAAAAUCUACUUCCACCAAUUAACAUGCAAAUCCCAACCUACCCACCACCCCAUGCUUCUUUUCUCUGCAAAAACCCCACCAACACCCAUCAAUUUCCACUUUUACCCACCCCUUUCCCACAAACUCCUACAUCCCUCAACCCAAUGCCACUUCCACUCCCCGACCCCAUGACCUCUUCACCAUUAACGCCUUCACACCCUCAUCCCUCCAAAACUCUAGAAACCCCCCCAUCCCCACCGCCUACUAUGUCACGUCACUCUGUGGCGACUCCAAUUCCAAUUCCACGGUCCCUCGGCGUCCGCCAUCGCCUUAUAGCUUCCACCUCCCCCUGUCGACUUCUUGUAGAGGUUCGAGAAGGACAAGAAGAUCGUGCUCCCCAACCCCCACUUCCAGAAACUUUGCGUUCAACAGUUAUACCUCUUUUGCCAAAUCGUCGACCCUGAUGCUCUCUCUCGGUUAGUGGCCAAAUUACUUUUAUGCCCGUUCAAUUUUCUGGCGUUGACAUAGAUGGAUGAAAUAUUUGACAAAAAAUUAGAAAAUAUAAUAGUAUGGAGGAUUUCAGCAAAUUAUAAUAGUUUAGGGAAGUAAUUGGUUAAAAUUAAAGUUUAGGAGGAAAAUUGACAAUGCCUUACAAUUUUGAGAGGAAAAUCGACAAAUACCUCUUUUUCUUUAAACAAGGGCUUAAAGUGUUUGACAAAUCAUUAAAAAAGAAAGUUGAUAUGCUUAACAUUUUUUUUUAACAUGAGCUUAAAGUCCUUUACUUUUCAAAUAAAUUAAAAACAAAAAAAGAUUAUUCCUCAAUUUUUAACCUGAUCUUGUACUACACUACUAGUUUUACCUUUGAAUUUUAUUUUCCUCGUAAUUGAUCUAACUUUUCAUUAAAACUGUCUCAUUUAAAGAAGGAAAAUAACAAGUUUCCAACAAAUUAAAAAAAAAAAAAAAAAAAAAAAAAAAACAGGAAAAUAACAAGAAGUAAUGUUGUAACCGGCAUGUGACUGUUUUGAGCAGAAAAUUGGAUGAAAUGCGCGAAAGAGGAAAAGAUGAUUAUUUGUGAGAAAUUGGCUAAGGUUCUGGUGGAAUUCACAGUGGUUCGCAAGAUCAAUAGGGAUGGCGAAAUACUUAAAAAAUAGAAACAUGAAUACCGACUCUCCAAGGUAAAAUUCUUCAAUCUGGCAUUCAUUUUCAAUACAUCAUCAUCUGCAAUUUCCAGUUUCGAUCGUUUCUUGUCAAUCGGUUCAGUUUUGGAAACGUCGGUAAACUCGACCCGUCUUACUCGAGGACUAGAUGGAAAACAAGUUUGUAUUUCAUGAUCAAGAAUUUGUAGUAGUUUAUAGAACAAGAACAAUAAAAUAAACUCUGUACAUGUACAUUAGCAUGAAUAUCAUACACAUCCUCACAAAAAACAAAAGGGUGGCCGGUCUUAGUCGAAUUUCCAGAUUCUGAUGUACUUACCUUAGUGCGCGGUGAUAACCUUCCUCAUCCGAACAGUCAAACACGUAAUGGGAGGUCGUCUGGUACUAAAGAGUGCUCUCAAUGGGGGUAUCUUCCGAAAGCCUUGUUCCUCUCAUUCUUUGGGUAGCCCCAAUCGUGUUUAGAGGACUUGAAGAUAAAUAUCCAUCCAUGACGCAUCUUCAAAUUACAUCACCUGUGUUCUGGUUCAGAAAACGCAGCAUACCGUCUAGUCCACCAAAUGAGUAUACCCUAUUUGGACUCACUCGUGUCUCCCAUAAACAUCUCAUUGUCCUGAAUCAUACAAUAUAACAGAAGAACAGGGUCAAUUAACAUACAACUCUAUCAAGUCAUCUGUUACUGUCAAAACAGUAAAAUAAAAGGGUGAAGACAGACCAGACAAGGACAUAAAGGUUAAGUAAUGUAAACCUUGUAUUCGAAAUUGUAACGAAGUGCAACAUGGAAACGGAUACAACAUAGACUUUCAUCAAGCUAAGUACGAAUUAGUUUAACCAGGCAAAUUAAAAUUCUUAAAAUAGCAUUUGAAGUCAUAUUUCAUACUUGAUGUCCAAACGUAAUGCAUAUCCAGCAGCCGAUCUAGCAAAUACUAAGUGAGAACAUGGGUUGAGACUUUGUUUAGAAUAUUGAUAUACCGUAAGUGCCAACACUUCCAAACAACUGCAAUCAAAAUCCCUAUCUUCCACACCAAUUUUGUUAAUUUCAGUCCUUUAAUCCUCUAUAAUUCAUUCGAUCCGACAGUCCAAAAUCGAAAAAUGUGUAAAAAAAUAAAAUAAUUUGUGUGAAUGGCACCACACACUAAACAAAUGUCAAAUGGGGAAAGGAAGGAAGAGGAAUACAUACAACAUGAUAGCUACAAACGUUGGCAUUAGGCACACUUCUUAAUCAUAUAUUACCACUCAGAGUAUCAGACUAUUCCCAGCAUGGCAACAACUUACUGUAUCUUAAUAAUAAUAUAUUAAUUUAACAUUAAGUUGUGUGAUACUCACCCCUUAUUAAUUGCGGUUAGAUUAGUCUAAAUUUUGAGAUCCGUGUCUUAGAUCAAAUAAACUAAACUAAUCUAACGGUAACUAAUGGGAGGUGAGCACAAAAUGCACUUGCCAAAAAAAAGAAAAAAGAAGAUUAUUGGCAAACAAAAAUCGAAUUUAAAUUUAGAGUAUCUAUACUAGUUUACCUUGCUUGUUGAUAUGUCUCCAUCCUUUGUAGAAAACUUGGGUGAGACCUAGCUUGCCAUUGUAUCAUGUUUAAAUUUACCUAACUUCUAAUAUUAACCAUUGACGAUGACCUAUGGUCAUGAUUUAAUCUUGUUUUGCCCUAAGGAAUUAACAUUAACGUCUUUACUUUUACACUAAGCCUGCUCAAAUGUGUGGAAAAGCUAAAUACUUUACUCUUCUCCAAAGGAGGAAGAGUUACAAGAUGUGUUACACAAGCUAAGCAAAUAAUUACAGGAAACCUAAUUAUAGGGGGUAAAAAGUAAUCUAAGCCGAGCAAGGCUCACAUUAACACUCAUCCUCAAGUCGGUGCAUAGAUAUCACCAAUGCCAACUUUGUUGAGUGAGCUAUGAUAAACUAUACUAGACAUAUCCUUAUUAAGAACAUCUAUAAGUUGAUCCUCUGACUUUACAAACAAAAACAAAUUAAUUAAGCAUCUAGUUUCUCCUCGAUGAAAUGUUAAUCCACUUCAAUAUGUUUAGAUUGAUGUAUAAAGAGAGGACCAUGAUCGGCCUGCUCGAUACCAGGCUUAAACAUGUUGGAAACGAAUGCUUCACUCUUCCUGUUUAAGAUCAGUAGCUGCAGCCAUUGGUUGAUGUUGGAGUGAGGGAGGAAAAAGAGGACCCGAGCACGUGGGAAAUCUGGGACAAAGAUCAGCGAGAAAAAGACGAAGCUAAGAGCCUAAGACCAAAUACCACAAGAGAGGGAGGGGGAAGGGGGGAGAGAAGUGAGAGGGCGAGAAGACGAGAUAGGGUAGAGAAUAAGGGUGGGUUGCCACUGCCCCCUAAGCCAAAGGCAGGGGCGGCCAGUAGGGGGUAGCUUCCUGUAUUUAUCGAACUCUUUUCCAGCUGCAUUACAUAUCAGAGCUCUGUUCCGGUGCAUAGAUAAAAGAUUACGUGCUUUUAGUGAGUUUCUAUCAACACUAUUAUUCUAUGUGUGGCCAUUUCUUCAUCCUAAACUUUACUCUUCACCGUGAGCAAAGAAAUCCACCAUCAGGCCAGAUUACUUAGGUGAUUAACUACUUAACAUAAAUACAAAGCUCUGACUUAAAACCAUUGCUCAGGAGCAACUCAUGUUCAAAGAACAAGUGCCUAAAAUGGAAAAAAAAUCCAUCCCUUCCCCUUUCUGAAAAGCCAGACAAAGAAGGAUAGCUAAGCAUCAAACAAUUUAACUUCAGACACAAUCUCACAAUUCAAAAAUUACUGUUUUUCAAUUUCAUUAUUAUAGCUAGUAUCCCGUAUGGCAAAGAUGUGUUUCUCUCAAGAAAAGUAGUUACUUGACCAAUACUACUUAAAUACAUACAUACAUAUAUAUGUGCAUAAGCACACUACAGAAAAGAGUAGUUCGUAAUCCACCAUCAAAGUCACCUUUGGGCACAACAGCACCCGUUCCCCCUUAAGGGCAAGGCUAAAGGGCGAGAUGCGGGUUUAGUGCAUUGUGGGAGUGUGGGUUUGUUCACUUGCCCAGCAAAAAAAUAGUAAUCUAAGCUAGUUUUCCUAUCUAUUCCAGUAUUAUUCGCAACUUCGGCCUCUAAUAGAAUUCAGUACUAGAUGUUAAGAGCAUGUGGUACGCAUCAUCAAAUGGAACAAACUCAAAGAAAAAACAUAAAUCGUUUAUCCAUGCAUAACGACUAUUAUGAUUCAACCCUCCAUCAAAUUACAAGAAAAACUAUUUGCAUACGACUCAAAAAUAAACAAAACCGCCUGAUAGUAGACACAACGAACACAAAAUAAACAUGAAGUUACAACAUAAAUCACUUAAUGCAGAGUAAGUAUUAAACAUCAACAACUUAUUCCGAAUCCUCACAUGCAUUUCUCAAAUUGCAAUACAAAAGCUAAGCAUCAAAACCAUAUAUAAAGUAAAACAACGGAAAAUACACUUCCCCCCCCCCCCCCCCAAAUAACCCAAUUUACCUCCCACUCUCAUACCGCUUUGGCCUCCGCCUUAGCAUUCCCUCUCUCGACCUUCCUCGCCUCCGCCUUCUCUGGUUUCGCCGCCUCCCCUGAGCAACACCCACCUUCAUGAUGGUGAUGAUGGUGGUGAUGCCCAUGCCCAUGCCCGUGCCCAUGACUAUGUCCAUGCACCUUCUUCCCCUUGAGCUCCUUCCUCAUAUCAUACGCAUCUUCCCCAUCGGCAUAGUACUUCGCCUCCACAUCAUGAAUCUUAUACCCCAAAGUCCCCGUGUACAAAUUGCAUGCCGCCCGAUUGCUCUUCCUCACGUGAAGCGACACGUAUUCCGCCGCGAAAACCUGUUCCAUGGCGUUCUGGGCCGCGCUCAUGAGCUUGGUGGCGAGGCCGAGUUUGCGGUGGGUGCGGAGGACGGCGAGGGAGGUGAUGUGGCCGUGGCGCUCGUCGCUCUCCUCCUCCAUCUUGGUGAGGACGUAGCCGACGAUGCGGCCGUUGUAGUCUUCGGCGACGUAGAGGAGCUGCGGCCAUGAGAGGAUGUGGAGGAGGUAGUACUUCAUCUGGUAGCUCUCAGGGAGGCAGAAGAGGUUGCAAGCUUGCAUCGCCAGGAGGUCAUUGAUGGUUGCCUUGCGUAUGCACACCAUUUUUGGAGCUUCUGGAGUUUCUAAGGUCGUGGUUUUGGUGUGGGAAUUUUGAUUUUGGGGAAGAAGAGAAACAGAGAGCGAUGAGAUCAAAAGAGACGUGGGGUUGCUCUGGGACUUUUCCUGGGAUCGGGUUGGACCGAGUCAUCCAUACUUUACAAACAAAUUUAAAAAAAAAUAAAAAAAUUGCAGUCCUACUAGGAUUUUGGAGAAUCUUAAGGGCUCGUCGAGUAACGUUAUUUUUUUUAAUAAACGAAAUUAUCUAUAAUAAGAAAGAGGAAUGAGCUUAAUCUCGCAAUUGCUAGUAAUAAUGUGGUUUAAAUUCGUAUUUGGCGAGAAUCGAAUCUAAGACCUUCCACUUUCAAGUAAAAAAGAAUAUCACUAGACCGUAUUAUUAAGUAACAAACCGUCCAUCAAUGUUUUACACAAUGAUUUUUAAAUAACUAUUUUGUAAAACAAAAGCGACAAACAAAGAUUUUCAUUUUUUAUGGUUUGAUAACGCGUUUGGUAGCUUAAUCCGAGAAUAAUUUUUUAGAUUGAGAACCUAAAAAAUAAGUCUAGUACCAGUAUUCAAAAUGUUAAAAAAAAAAAAAAAAAAAAACUAUAAAUUCGUAUUUGAUAAUAAUGAUGGCAAUAGUGGUAGAAAUUGGCUGAGUCAUGAUUUCAACAAGGGCUUAAAGUCUACACUUACAAAAAAAAAAGAGAAAGUGUUUCGUUGAUUUUUUCUCCUUAAAUUGAACUCCACUACUACUUUAACCUUUGAAUUUUUAUUUUCCCCGUAAUUGAUCUAACUUUGCAUUAAAACUAUCACAUUAAAGAAAGAGAAAAUAACAACAAAUAAUAUUGUAAUCGGCAUGUGAUUUUUUUGGACAGAAAAUUGGAACAAAUGCGAUCGCUUAUAAUAGUUCAUGUAAGAAAUUGGCUAAAGUUCUAGUGAAUUUCGCAGUGGUUUAAAAGCUCAAUAGGGGAUAGUAGAUUUCUCUCU